GAUCGCAUCCAGGUUACAGUAUUGAAAUUAGAAUCAACCACUAUUAAUAAACAUUAUCUUACAAACUCAGAUCAUCUUCGAUAAGAAGAAUCACUGCCAGUCUACCUCAAUUAUGACUUACAACUGAAUCUCAAUAAUACAACUCUAUCUAGAACCAACCUUGUCAAUCUCCCUGAACAUUCCACUUGUCCUCUGGAUAUUCUAUGACUCUGACUCCUCGCUUAGCCUUAGCCAUACUCGCAAUCUCAAUUCAACUCUAAGCUUUUCUGAAAUGGUUAAAAAAAGAAUAGCAAGGGUGAGCAACAAUGCUCAGCAAGUGUAUAUAAGCAAUAAUAGUCCUGAAUAUCUUAUCAGGGUUCACAAGAUCAAGGUAUGUAAUUGAAAACUUCAUAAUUCUUAUCAGCAAUUGAAAUCAGAAUUUCAAACUUACAGAAGAAUUGUCGAAUUGGAUUCAUCACAUUUUUACUUAAAAACCAAAGGUUAGGCUGCUGAUCAGUCACGCACUAACCCCGAACAUGGCACACAGCCCUGUUCUCUAUACUGGAUCCAAGGCACACCUUGGCCUAUAAUUGACCACGAAUCUGGUCUGACCACGAAUCUGGUCCACAUAUUUUAUAAAAACUAAUCCAAUUCUAACAAUUUAAAUCAACAGACAAUUGAAUCAACAGAACAGAAUCAUAAUCAUUAUCAGCAACAGAAAUAUUUCAAAUCAACUUUUGGGAAUCAACAUUUCAUAAACCACAGUCUGUCUUUUGAUAAAUCAUAGUUCAGGAAAUUCCUAACUAUUCAGUAUCCUCCAUUAUCGGCUAAGCAACUGAAUUUAGCCUGCUAAACCAGCAUGACAAUGGCGGGUUGAAUAAUCAAGAAGAUCCCAUUUCAUUCUAGGCUCUAACUAUCACUGAGCAACACAUGCUUCAAUGACGGUCUGAACUUCGAAUUAAUUUGUAGAACUGGUAUUUUUAAAAUCUUGAGGAUUGGAAAGAAUGGAUCAAAAUAGAAAGUUGAGAGUAAAUAGGUGUUUGGCUUUUCAAAACUUGGAAGAAGAAACAAUCAUGGGUUUCAUUCUCAGAAGUAAGUGUUUGUUUGGGAAGGGUUUCAGUAUAAACAAUAUCAUAAUCUUGACAGAAUAAUCAGAACAUGCAAUAUAUAUAUGAGGAAGGAUUUAGGAAAACUUGCCUUAAAUCCGAUUCCAGUCUCAUAUCUCAAUCUCAUCUUUCCACUUUCACACUCUAUGCAUAUCAUAGUCUCUAGACCAUCUUUGGCUAUACUCUAUUCGCCACACUGCUUCGUUUACUCGAUUCGUUCCUUAUUCGCUUUGUAACAUCGUUUGACCUUCUGAACGUCUUCGAUCGUAUCCGUCUCGUCCAAACCCUUUACGAGAAUAAGAUACUACCAUUAUCACUAAAUAAUCUAUUGAUUCUUAUCUCUACUUAUCAACUCGGUAGCAUAACCUAUCGCAUACACAUAUCACGUAUAUCGAUACCCACUUAUAUAACUCUUUAAACUCAUCAAAUAUCACUUAACACAUAAUCAUGCUUUGACUCUACCAUAUAGUCUAAUCAUAUUUCACAUAACAUAUUAUCAAUUAAAUAUCAUAUAAAUCUUAUCGAAAAUCCGACAUCGUCUCGUCUAUUUAUUAGACUAUCCACCUGUUAUCCUAUCUCAAUCAACAAUCAACCAACCAAAUCCAAUCACUAUAAUCCAUAUGCUUUUAUCCGACAUCUAUCAAGACACGACAUUAUGUCAUUUAAUCAUUUAUCACAUGUAUGUAAUACUAGAACAACCAGAUAGUCCAUGCAAUCAUCAAUUAAUAGCAAUUAGAUCACAUAUAAUCCUAUUCUAUACAUUUAACAACAAUUAUUCACAUUUUAUACUCCACCAUAUUAUUAUGUCACAUUAAAAUAGACUUUAUAAGCUUUAACCUCUCUUUCGUUUCACUCGAUUCUGAAUUACCGAUCACCAGUUAUGCUGAAAACCGUUUCCGACUCCACUUUCGACACAUGUAAUACAUCCCACCGAUAACAGACAACAUAUACACAUUAGGUCUCCCCUCCCAAUUGAUGCCAAAUCAAGUUUUAGGUUCAAAAUGAUUUUUCGGGAAUUUUCUGGAAUUUCUAGACAUUUUUCGGAAUUAAAACAGGUAAAAGAAUCCAUUUUUGAAUAAAUAAUCAAGUCCGAUUGCUCAAGAUCGGGUCCAAAAUCAUUUGAAAUCAAUUAACGAGCCUCAAACAUAUUUUAGAAAAAUAAUUCAAAGCUCGAAACUAUUUUUCAGAAUUUUUAAAUCAAAAGGAACAAUUAAAUCUAAUUAAUUAAUCAAUUAAAAUCAAUUAAUAAUUAACUAAAUUAAUUAAUCAAUUAAUAUUUAAAUUAAUUGACCAAUUAAAAUAAUUAAUUACUAAUUAAAAUUAAUUAAGAAACUAAUUUAGAUUUAUUUUUGAAUAAAGAAAUAAUUAAAAACUAUUUUUGGAAUUUAAAAUAAUUAAAUAAAACAAUUUUAGAAAAUUAAAUCAAAAGGUUUAUUUUGUAAACUUUUGAAAGUUUUGGCCAGGGUUUAAAGUGCAACUUUUCAAAGUUACAGGGGGUAAUUCAUAAGUUUCAAAACCUGAGUACAAACACUUCACCAUCUUCAAAACUUCGGUGACCAAACAGCAAUAAGCCGCCGGCCACCACACUAACUCGCCGGAAAUUCAUUUCCCGGCAUCCUCCACUCGCCAUACACUCCAGAUCAGUAGUACACACACCCAACAACUCAUUCCCAUAAUCAAACUUAGUAAUUAACACGUAGUUUGGCCGGAUUUUGGCCGGAAAGUCCAAGAACACCGCCGGUGUUCAUAAACUCCGGCGAGUUCAACCGUGAAUCCCACACAAAAUCUGAUUAUAUGAACAUAUUCCUCUUGAAACACUCUUCCUAAUGGUAUAAACCAAAACAACGCAGAAUUCCUAGAUUAAAAACGCCUCUUUUUGAAUUAAGAACAUUCAUAACCUCCAAGAACAUUCAAGAACACAACUUCAAGAAUCAAACCAACUUUUCUCUAUGUUAUCGAAGUCAAAAUUCAACAUAUAAUAUACCAAAACGACGAGAAAAACACGCUCUACAUCAUAGAAUCAUCAAAUCACAUAAACGGAAUCGUUUGCAAAAAUUCAUAAUUUAAAAUCAUUUAAUUCGAAUUUUGUAAAAAUCAUGUAAAAUCACCUGAUGAAUCUGCAACGUUAUAGUUGAUUAUACUAUAUUCUACGCGUCGAGAGCUUCGUUUUGACUAUUCAUACGCCUCCAUCGGAUUCCAAUAACACCUCCAAAUCCUCAUUUGAUUACGAAGAACACGAAGAACACACUUCGGUUUCUCUCGGUAUUCGUGCAGAGAAACUGGUGAAAUGAUUUUACGGGUGAAAAUCAGCUAUAGAAAAGUCUAUUUAUAUUUACAAAUAAUUGGUACCCCUUUGGAUCGUUUAUGACAUGAAAAUACGUAUUUAAUAGCUUUAUAUUAAUAAAGCGGGGUCCAAUCGGUACCGGUUUUCG
This 3517-nucleotide long non-coding RNA is filed under the name Daucus carota (carrot). Its description in RNAcentral is "long non-coding RNA (DCAR_LNC001404)". The record is from RNAcentral. Lineage: Eukaryota; Viridiplantae; Streptophyta; Magnoliopsida; Apiales; Apiaceae.